UUUAAAUUGAGAGUUUGAUCCUGGCUCAGGAUGAACGCUGGUGGCGUGCCUAAUACAUGCAAGUCGUACGCUAGCCGCUGAAUUGAUCCUUCGGGUGAAGUGAGGCAAUGACUAGAGUGGCGAACUGGUGAGUAACACGUAAGAAACCUGCCCUUUAGUGGGGGAUAACAUUUGGAAACAGAUGCUAAUACCGCGUAACAACAAAUCACACAUGUGAUCUGUUUGAAAGGUCCUUUUGGAUCGCUAGAGGAUGGUCUUGCGGCGUAUUAGCUUGUUGGUAGGGUAGAAGCCUACCAAGGCAAUGAUGCGUAGCCGAGUUGAGAGACUGGCCGGCCACAUUGGGACUGAGACACUGCCCAAACUCCUACGGGAGGCUGCAGUAGGGAAUUUUCCGCAAUGCACGAAAGUGUGACGGAGCGACGCCGCGUGUGUGAUGAAGGCUUUCGGGUCGUAAAGCACUGUUGUAAGGGAAGAAUAACUGAAUUCAGAGAAAGUUUUCAGCUUGACGGUACCUUACCAGAAAGGGAUGGCUAAAUACGUGCCAGCAGCCGCGGUAAUACGUAUGUCCCGAGCGUUAUCCGGAUUUAUUGGGCGUAAAGCGAGCGCAGACGGUUUAUUAAGUCUGAUGUGAAAUCCCGAGGCCCAACCUCGGAACUGCAUUGGAAACUGAUUUACUUGAGUGCGAUAGAGGCAAGUGGAACUCCAUGUG
This 709-nucleotide ribosomal RNA is filed under the name Oenococcus oeni. Its description in RNAcentral is "bacterial SSU rRNA". It matches the Rfam family "Bacterial small subunit ribosomal RNA", at positions 1 to 675 of the family's 1533-position model. The record is from RNAcentral. Lineage: Bacteria; Bacillati; Bacillota; Bacilli; Lactobacillales; Lactobacillaceae.